UACGUAGGUGGCGAGCGUUGUCCGGAUUUACUGGGCGUAAAGGGAGCGUAGGCGGACUUUUAAGUGAGAUGUGAAAUACUCGGGCUCAACUUGAGUGCUGCAUUUCAAACUGGAAGUCUAGAGUGCAGGAGAGGAGAAUGGAAUUCCUAGUGUAGCGGUGAAAUGCGUAGAGAUUAGGAAGAACACCAGUGGCGAAGGCGAUUCUCCGGACUGUAACUGACGCUGAGGCUCGGAAGCGUGGGGAGCAAACAGG
This 253-nucleotide ribosomal RNA is filed under the name uncultured bacterium. Its description in RNAcentral is "partial 16S ribosomal RNA". It matches the Rfam family "Bacterial small subunit ribosomal RNA", at positions 524 to 776 of the family's 1533-position model. The record is from RNAcentral.